Molecule: unclassified non-coding RNA, 245 nt
Filed under: uncultured fungus
Lineage: Eukaryota; Fungi
Description: sequence contains ITS1
Source: RNAcentral
GUAUAACAAUUCAUUUUCAUUCCUUCUAAAACAUUGGUGUGUGUGUAAAAAAAAACAUGUAGAUCAAAAGAAUACAAGGAAAGCCCCACAAAUAGCAACUUUGCAAAGCAGUCCUAACAAAGAUCCACACAAGUGAUGCACAAAUAAUGGAGAAAUGAAGAAUAACAAGCGUGCACGAUCUAGGAUCAGCGACAACUUGUUAUGGUACUUCAGUAAUGAUCCUUCCGCAGGUUCACCUACGGAAA